AUAUAUACAAGCAUUUUAUCCCAAGAUGGUCGAAUUGCAAUUUGUCUUUUGGUUUACUAAUUGGAACUUGUAUGCGCUAUAAAAAAAGUUAAUGUAGAAUCUCUCUUCUUUGUGCUGUGGUUUUGACUUUGUCAUCGUAUCUAUUGAUUUUUUGUUUUUUCAUGAUGAACUUGAGUUGGAAACCUAUCCUAUAAAUGUUAUGCCAGCGACCAUGUUUAUGCCCAAAUGCCUUAUUCAGAUAGCGGUUUACUCUUGUUCUCAAUCAGAAGUAACCACCACAUGUAUACAAGUAAAAAUGCAUAUUUGGUGUGAAACAGUGUACUUAGAAGUACCUUAUCCGAACUUGUCCGUAAGUUCAUUUUCCAGUCUUGGUUGCGGAUGUUGCACAUUAGUCACUUCCUCAAGCAACUUACUGAUAUUUUGGUUGUGUCCUGCUUCAUUGGAAAGUAAGUGUUUUCAGUACGCAACUUAUGAUGAGACUAAGUCGAUAACCAAACUUUAAUUACCACAAGUCACAACUAACAUUGGUAUUGGAUUUCACCUAUAGUAUUCUAUUGGUGCAUUUGCCUCGUACUUCCAUGUUAUUAUAUGAAUGAAUCCCCUCUAGUGCAGGAUUGGUCAUGUUUAAAUAUUGUUAUAAAUUUUAAAUUAUAAAUAUUUCGAUCUAAUACAAUAAGAAAUAAAUACAUGACACAAAUGGGUAUAGAGCAGUAGAAAAGUAUUUUUGCUUUGGUUUCUGACAAGAGAUGCUGCCUCCUAGUGUUUGUCGUACAAAAUUUACCUUCGAAAUAUAAAAUAACAAGCGUUAAUGUGGAUGCAAAAUGGUAGUAUCAUGUGGAACGGCUCUAUAUUUAGCAAUUAAAAGACCUCUACUGUGUAUGUACGUACAAGUUUUGGGCACAAAAUGAAGCCAAAGGAAAUAGGAAUUUGUUAAUUCUUUUGUUUCCCAACUGUAAAAUACUUACUCAGACCACUUUACCAAUUGCCACCGACGUGGGUGAUAGUGGCGACCUCCGUGUUCUUCCCGCUUUAAUUCUUUCUUUCUUUCUUUCUUGGAUUCGUAUUCUUUCUCAUGCAAUGAAAAGUACAAUAGCAUAGUGGACUUGUGCCAGUGCCAACGCGAAAGCAAGGGAAUAAACUCAAACUCCAAUGGCUUCAUUGAUAAAUCUUGGCGUCUAUAUAUUACAAUUCAACUGUAUCCCUUGUUUUGAUUAACAAAUUAUUUUAACAUGGCAGCCUUUUGUUAUUUAGCCCUAGCAUAUUGAGCUCUAUUAAAAAAACUCAAAAUAACACGAAAAUCCAGCUUGUAUUUGAGUUUUUGCCCUGGUUAAAUUGUUUUGCAGAUAUGAAAGGUUCUUUUUAUCAUAGACGCAUAACGGAUUGUUACUACAUUAAUUUGAAGUUAAAAGUACUAAAACUGACAGACAUAUGAGGGGAUAGCAUAUAUAUACACACACCUUGAUUUCAUAGCCGCAGCGUUUGAAAACUCUAAUGAAAACAGCUUCCCGGUGUCACAAGGAUCGAUCAUAUAUAAGCUAGGCCUCAGUAGUGGUUUAUGGUGUUG
RNAcentral lists this long non-coding RNA (1564 nucleotides) under Glycine max (soybean). Its description in RNAcentral is "long non-coding RNA (GMAX_LNC002409)". Lineage: Eukaryota; Viridiplantae; Streptophyta; Magnoliopsida; Fabales; Fabaceae. The record is from RNAcentral.